GGAAAGCCAUGAUCUUGGUUCCUUCUUCCAAGGCGCACUGCUUGUGGAGGUCGAACCUGCAGGCCCGGCACCUGUACCUCUCGCCCGCGCCUCUCUCACGGCAGCCGUUGCACACGAACUCCCAGUACUCGGUCGCCUCCAGCGACAGCCUGUGUCCCAAGUGGGCGGGGUGGCAGAUCGAGGCUGGCAAAGCCAUGCUCUUGUCCAAGGCGCAAUGCUUGUGGAGGUCGAAGUCGCAUGGAUGGCACCUGUACCUCUCGCCCCUGCCGGGCUCACGGCAACCGUCGCAAGAGAAGCUUUUCCCUGUGUCCUGCAGCCAUAGCUUCUGUCCCAAGUGAGCCAGGUGGGAGAUCGAGGCCGGCAAAGCCAUGAUCUUGCUUCCUUCGUCCACGUGUAAUCUAGAAUCUAGAUCAGCCCAGCCAGCUUCUCUGAUAACUAAAAAACAUAUCAUGAAACUUUAGUACUUCACAAUAAUAGAUAUGGAUCAAUGCAUGCAUCAACGACGGAGAAUGAAAAAAAUUCACAAGGAUUAAUCUGUAGAAUAAAAAAACCCUAAAGGAUAACAUCAAGAAAAGAAGAACAAAGCCAAAGACCACUCGCAAAGACAGGCAAAACCCUACAACAACUAGUGCAUCAUAUAUUCUCUGCGAUUCGUUUUGAUCAACAAAAAAACACUAGCAUUUCAUCUAGUAUAGUCUAGAUUUGAAAGUUUCAAAGAUAUGAUAAGUAUAAAUCUACAUAACCGAAUGCCGGUGGCCGGGUGUGGUUCAUGGUUCCAAAAGUAUUAAGUCCCCAGAGAGCUGAGCACUAACCUUGAAGAUGUGUAGUAAUCGACUGAUCGGUGCACUUCUCAGAAAACUAACAUGCAUCCAACAAGUGGGUGUACGAGAGGGGGACAAGAAGAAAAGGAGACUUAUCUGCCUGCUUUUAUACAGCAAAAAGAAUGAAGAGCGGGCCGGCAGGGUAAGAUAAGGAGAAUGGUUGGCUACAGAUGACCGGCUGACUGGUUCAGACGUCGGUAAACCGCCCCAGAACAUCGUUUUCAGUUUCAGUUUCCUGUCGAUCAACAAACCACAUACAUCUGGACUGGUAUUAAUCGGAUCGUAACAUACACGUACAUAUAUAUCUGGCUGGCAUUGCCUGCGUGCAUGCUAAGUAUUUUGGUGGUGGCCACUCAUCUCCUGAUUUGAGUCAGUGUGUACAGUCUAGUUGACUUGGACUAGUAAACGCAAGACCACUUGCCUGUAGCCGUCCGAGGUGCCGUAACGGUAAGGCAACGUCGGCUUGCCUCUGCUCCCUAUGUCGUCGGAAAACAAAAAAUGUGACACUUUAGCAUGCCACGGAUUCCACCUACGGACUCCUCUUUAUUGAGAACCACUCCGUGUAUUUAUUCAUUCAAGUGGAGCAUCUCUGAUUGAGCAGGGUCAAUCAGGAAAUCAGGGAUAACAUUCAUAUUACAAGCAUUGUCUAAAAAAGCGAAUGCAUGCCUAGCACAUUGGUGAGCAACAAAAUUGGCCUCCCUACGCACAAAGACUAGAUCAAAUCCCUCGAAGUCCGAGAGAUAAGAGUGCAUCUCUCUAUAAACUUGGCCUCCGACUGACAUGUCGUCUCCUAUAGUCUCCAUAUGGUGCAAAUGGAUUGACAAUCCGAUUCCAUGAUCACAUGUGAUAACGAUCUGCCUUACUAGCAAGUUUCAUAGCAUCACGACAAGCUAGGAUUCCGGCUAUAAAUGGGUACUCCUUAGCAGGGUAUUUAGAGCAUCUCGCAAAUAAGAAGGACCCUUGAUCAACCGUAGCCACCACUCUGGCUCCUGCAUCUCCCAUCGCCUGGUCGGUCGCCUCGCCGCAGUUCAGUUUUACCCAGUUCAGUGGUGGUACCUUUCAAUAUUCCUUUACGAGGUCAUGUCCAUCUGUAUCACCACUUGGAGUAUCAAGUGAUGUAAUCAACUCAUCCAAUUGUCAUGCCAUAUCAAAGUGGUCAUAUAAUUCCCAAUUCUUGGCCCGACAUCUGAAUCUGCACUCCAAGAUAGUUGUCAUCUAAACCUUUGUUCCGCUCCCCUCCCCCUCGUGUCGCCUUCCCUCGGGCGGCGCCAAGUCCCCCCGAUCCCGUGCCACCAGCCCCUCCCGUGCGCGGGGCUAGCCUUUUACCCGUCCCCUAAACCCAUCGGGUUUUCUAAACCCACGGGAAAUCGGCAAGUUUAAGCAAACAUAGUAGCAACACAAAAUAGAAUUUCAGCAGCAAAAAGAGCAUAUUUCAGCGGCAUAACUUCAACCAAAAGAUUAAAAAUAGAAGUCAACAAUGUACCUAAAUGUACACUACCUAUACCUGAAUGCACAAUUGCAAUUUCUGUUGACGGUGUCAACAAUGUACCUGAAUGUACACCACCUAUACCUGGGUGGGCUAGUGUGUAGUCGAGCCUGAAUGGCCCAAUACACUCAAUGCAGUAUUUUGGUGGGGGUGGCGGGUUUUGGGUUCGGGUAUUGUUGAAAUGGGUUUGAACCCGCGAAACAUGACGGGUUUUAUACUUUACCCAGCAGCAGCCCUGCGAGGUUAAAAAGACGCCCAUUCAUGUUCCCUGAGGCCAUGUACAACGCAUCACUUACAGCAGGCGCUUAGGAAUAGAAUCCCUGCCGUUUUGCUCGUACAGAAAGAUUUUCCUGGCGUCUCCCGGCCAGCGAUGCUAGACUUGGCAGCCGGUUAGAUGUGACAUAAAGUGCCUCGGCGUUUGUAACACAGGAUCUUACGCUACAGUUUUUUAAUUAUUUUAAUUUUUUAAAAGUCUAUCUAAAUGUCUAUGCAUUGGACAUGCCCUAUAAUAGGGUAAAAAAAGAACCCACUGGGACACGGGUUCCGGGGCCCAUUGCCAUCUUGAGGCUGCACCUCCUCUAGAUCAGAAAGUAGGUUGCGCUAGCAUCCUCUCCCCUCCCCUCUCCUCUCCCGUGGGUGUUCUUGACAGAUCGAUCGAUCUGCGGGCGUGGAGUUCCUGUGGCCAUUAACUAACCUGUGGAUCCUCCCUCACUGCAGCAGCCCAUGGAAGAUGCAGCCGGCGGGGGGCAGAUCCGAGCACCACCACGGCGUCGCCGACGCGCCGCCCUUCCGGAUGGAGGACCUGCCUGCGGUAACUACUCACAUUCCGCCAGUUCCUCUUUUUUUUCUCUCCUAAUCUUCCUUACAUUACAGCAAGGGAAAUAAAAUCAUUGCUUGAUGUGAUGCAUUUGCAUCUCCCUGAACCAUGGGUUUGGAACUCUGGGGCAAAAAUGUGAGCCUCAAUGUUCAGGGCUUCUCGCUUAAAUUGUUUUCUGCAUAAAUAGGAACAUCAGCUAUGCUUCAACUGUUGUUCAUUUCAUGUUUUCCUAAGUGGGGCUCGAUAUUUUAGGUUCCUCACUGUGUCUACCAAUUAGAAACUCAGGUCCUUUCUUGUCGCAGGGGAUUCGGACUCUUAUAAUCUCACUGCUGCCACUGAAAGAGGCUGUGAGGACAAGCAUCGUUUCAACAAGUUGGAGAAUGCUCUGGAAAUUCCACUGUAAUCUAUGAUUUGAUGGCCCCAAUGUUCCGGAUUCUGAUGCCGAUGAUGAUGCCGGCGAUGAGUUUGCUUAUCUGGAUUAUGAUACCGAUGAUGAGCUUGCUCAUCAGGAUGGUACCAAAAUAACACGAGCAAAGUUCAUUGAGAUAGUAAAAGGGUUAUUCGUCGGCGUAGUGGGAUAGGGAUCAAUAAGUUCAGCAUUAAGUGUGGCCUGCUCAUAGAGUACUCUGAUCAUCUUGACAGGUGGAUUGGGUUUGCCGCUUCAUCGAAGGCAAAGAUAAUAAAUAUUGAUCUGACGUACAAGGAUUACAUCUUCCAACAAGUUCACCAGUUCCCUCUUGAGGCCUUGGAUGCUCAAGGUAGUUCCCUUGGGGCACCAAAAGCUUUUCCCUGUGUCCUGCAGCCAUAGCUUCUGUUCCAAGUGAGCCAGGUGGGAGAUCGAGGCCGGCAAAGCCAUGAUCUUGCUUCCUUCCUCCAGGUGUACUACUCUAGAUGAGCCCAGCCAGCUUCUCUGAUACCUAAAAAAACAUAUCAUGAAAUGAACUUCACAAGAAUAGAUAUAUAGAUCAAUGCGUUCAUCAGUGAUGGAGAAUGAGAAAAGAUCACAAGAAUUGACCUGCAGAAUUAAUUGAAAAAGGAAAGAAACGCAAACUAGGAAAAACCUAAAGGCUAACAUCAAUAAAAGAAGAACAAAGCCAAAGACCACUCACAAAGACAAAGGCAAAACCCUACAACAACUAGAAUAUCAUAUAUUCUCUGUGAUUUGUUUUGAUCAACAAAAAAUACUUGUAUUUCAUCUAGUAUAGUCUAGAUUUGUAUGUUUCAAGAUAUGA
RNAcentral lists this long non-coding RNA (4356 nucleotides) under Triticum aestivum (bread wheat). RNAcentral's name for it is "long non-coding RNA (TAES_LNC015468)". The record is from RNAcentral. Lineage: Eukaryota; Viridiplantae; Streptophyta; Magnoliopsida; Poales; Poaceae.